RNAcentral lists this ribosomal RNA (1295 nucleotides) under metagenome. Its description in RNAcentral is "bacterial LSU rRNA". It matches the Rfam family "Bacterial large subunit ribosomal RNA", at positions 1638 to 2925 of the family's 2925-position model. The record is from RNAcentral.
ACGACCGUACCGCAAACCGACACUGGUGCGCGAGAUGAGUAUUCUAAGGCGCUUGAGAGAACUCAGGAGAAGGAACUCGGCAAAUUGACACCGUAACUUCGGAAGAAGGUGUGCCUUUAGUAGGUGAACCUGUACAAGGGGAGCCCAAUGAGGUUGCAAAAAAUCGGUGGCUGCGACUGUUUAAUAAAAACACAGCACUCUGCAAACACGAAAGUGGACGUAUAGGGUGUGACGCCUGCCCGGUGCUGGAAGAUUAAAUGAUGGGGUGCAAGCUCUUGAUUGAAGUCCCAGUAAACGGCGGCCGUAACGAUAACGGUCCUAAGGUAGCGAAAUUCCUUGUCGGGUAAGUUCCGACCUGCACGAAUGGCGUAACGAUGGCCACACUGUCUCCUCCUGAGACUCAGCGAAGUUGAAAUGUUUGUGAUGAUGCAAUCUCCCCGCGGAAAGACGGAAAGACCCCAUGAACCUUUACUGUAGCUUUGUAUUGGACUUUGAACAGAUCUGUGUAGGAUAGGUGGGAGGCUUUGAAGUGUGGUCGCUAGAUCGCAUGGAGCCAACGUUGAAAUACCACCCUGGUGUGUUUGAGGUUCUAACCUAGGCCCGUAAUCCGGGUCGGGGACAGUGCAUGGUAGGCAGUUUGACUGGGGCGGUCUCCUCCCAAAGCGUAACGGAGGAGUUCGAAGGUACGCUAGGUACGGUCGGACAUCGUGCUAAUAGUGCAAUGGCAUAAGCGUGCUUAACUGCGAGACUGACAAGUCGAGCAGAUGCGAAAGCAGGACAUAGUGAUCCGGUGGUUCUGUAUGGAAGGGCCAUCGCUCAACGGAUAAAAGGUACUCUGGGGAUAACAGGCUGAUACCGCCCAAGAGUUCAUAUCGACGGCGGUGUUUGGCACCUCGAUGUCGGCUCAUCUCAUCCUGGGGCUGUAGCCGGUCCCAAGGGUAUGGCUGUUCGCCAUUUAAAGAGGUACGUGAGCUGGGUUUAAAACGUCGUGAGACAGUUUGGUCCCUAUCUUCCGUGGGCGCUGCAGAUUUGAGGAAGCCUGCUCCUAGUACGAGAGGACCGGAGUGGACACACCUCUGGUGUAUCGGUUGUCACGCCAGUGGCAUUGCCGAGUAGCUAUGUGUGGAAGAGAUAACCGCUGAAAGCAUCUAAGCGGGAAACUCGUUUCAAGAUGAGAUCUGCCGGGGCCUUGAGCCCCCUAAAGAGUCGUUCAAGACCAGGACGUUGAUAGGUCGGGUGUGGAAGCGCAGUAAUGCGUUAAGCUAACCGAUACUAAUUGCUCGUGCGGCUUGAUC